Molecule: transfer RNA, 66 nt
Filed under: Apis mellifera (honey bee)
Lineage: Eukaryota; Metazoa; Arthropoda; Insecta; Hymenoptera; Apidae
Also listed under: 1 other name
Description: tRNA-Glu
Source: RNAcentral
AUUUAUAUAGUUUAAAAAAAACAUUAUAUUUUCAAUAUAAAAAUAAUUAUAUUUAAUUUAUAAAUA